Non-coding RNA from Pelodiscus sinensis (Chinese soft-shelled turtle), 454 nucleotides. The record is from RefSeq and is a predicted model, not a curated record. NCBI's taxonomy places the organism in Eukaryota, Metazoa, Chordata, Testudines, Trionychidae.
GUGUCGUUCUGCCUAGGAACUGCUGAGACGUUCCGUUUAAAUGUCCCACAGCUGGGAACUGAGAUGACCUGGUGUAAAAGUGAAGCAAGUAAUCGAGGAUAACGUGAAGUGGAGUCGAUUCGGGAAGCUCUUGCUGUGUGGCACACCAGGAGAUGAACCUGCGCCAUUUUGAAAGGUACUUUGGGACUCCCACUGCUUGAAAGUAAGAUGCUCGCCUCAUGACUACCACCGGGGCCGUGGAAUGGGCUGCUGUAUCCGCCACAUUCAUUGCUAUCUGGAGGGCCAUUCUCACCGAUGUAUAGCCCUCCUGCACAACCGAUUUUAGUAUGGGCCUUUUAGACUCUGGCAGGUGAUCCAACAGUGGCGUCAGCUUUGUAAAUGUAUCGAAUAUGUGAUUAGAGAGAUGUGAAGUGUAAUUGGCAAUUCUGAGCAUAAGUAUUGUGGAUGUGUAGAC